This 229-nucleotide ribosomal RNA is filed under the name uncultured bacterium. Its description in RNAcentral is "partial 16S ribosomal RNA". It matches the Rfam family "Bacterial small subunit ribosomal RNA", at positions 126 to 354 of the family's 1533-position model. The record is from RNAcentral.
UAGCCUUGGAGUGGGGGAUAACAGCUGGAAACAGCUGCUAAUACCGCAUAAUGCAGUUGAGUCGCAUGGCUCUGACUGCCAAAGAUUUAUCGCUCUGAGAUGGACUCGCGUCUGAUUAGCUAGUUGGUGGGGCAACGGCCCACCAAGGCGACGAUCAGUAGCCGGACUGAGAGGUUGGCCGGCCACAUUGGGACUGAGACACGGCCCAGACUCCUACGGGAGGCAGCAG